UACAGAGGGGGCAAGCGUUGUUCGGAAUUACUGGGCGUAAAGCGUGCGCAGGCGGUUCGUUAAGUUCGGUGUGAAAGCCCCGGGCUCAACCUGGGAAUGGCAAUGGAAACUGGCGAGCUUGAGUGUGGCAGAGGGGGGUGGAAUUCCGCGUGUAGCAGUGAAAUGCGUAGAGAUGCGGAGGAACACCGAUGGCGAAGGCAGCCCCCUGGGCCAACACUGACGCUCAGGCACGAAAGCGUGGGGAGCAAACAGG
RNAcentral lists this ribosomal RNA (253 nucleotides) under uncultured bacterium. RNAcentral's name for it is "partial 16S ribosomal RNA". It matches the Rfam family "Bacterial small subunit ribosomal RNA", at positions 524 to 776 of the family's 1533-position model. The record is from RNAcentral.